RNAcentral lists this transfer RNA (81 nucleotides) under Candidatus Kaiserbacteria bacterium. RNAcentral describes it as "tRNA-Leu". It matches the Rfam family "tRNA". From Rfam's summary of the family: Transfer RNA (tRNA) molecules are approximately 80 nucleotides in length. Their secondary structure includes four short double-helical elements and three loops (D, anti-codon, and T loops). Lineage: Bacteria; Candidatus Kaiseribacteriota. The record is from RNAcentral.
GCGCCGGUGGUGAAAUGGCAUACACGCUAGCAUGAGGUGCUAGUGCCGAAAGGCGUGGAGGUUCGAGUCCUCUCCGGCGCA